UAGGGAAUAUUGGACAAUGGGGGCAACCCUGAUCCAGCCAUGCCGCGUGAGUGAAGAAGGCCUUAGGGUCGUAAAGCUCUUUCAAUUGUGAAGAUAAUGACGGUAACAAUAGAAGAAGCCCCGGCUAAAUUCGUGCCAGCAGCCGCGGUAAUACGAAUGGGGCAAGCGUUGUUCGGAAUCACUGGGCUUAAAGCGUGCGUAGGCGGAUUUGCAAGUCAGGCGUGAAAUCCCGAGGCUCAACCUCGGAACUGCGCUUGAAACUGCAAGUCUAGAAACCGGUAGGGGCUAAUGGAAUUCCAAGUGUAGAGGUGAAAUUCGCAGAUAUUUGGAGGAACACCAGUGGCGUAGGCGAUUAGCUGGACCGGUAUUGACGCUGAGGUACGAAAGCGUGGGGAGCGAACGGGAUUAGAUACCCCCGUAGUCC
RNAcentral lists this ribosomal RNA (424 nucleotides) under uncultured prokaryote. Its description in RNAcentral is "bacterial SSU rRNA". It matches the Rfam family "Bacterial small subunit ribosomal RNA", at positions 355 to 796 of the family's 1533-position model. The record is from RNAcentral.